AGCUCAUCGAGCUGGUUUCUGAGGAACCGGUGCCGAGUCGCCUCAGCUUCCGAAUAGCAUCCACACACCUCCUCUCAUCACGCUUCAGAAUAGCAUCCACACAGCUCCUUUCAUCGCUUAUCUGUUGGAGGAGAAUCAUGUCCAACUUGCUUUGCUUCUCCUACUUUUGAAGGCCAUAUCAUCACCCUCGACCUGGACCUGGCCUAGCUUAUCAAAUAUGCGGCGGAGUGAGGCCACGAUCCGAUGAAGAUGCAUGACGCAUGUACACACACUGCGGCGCCGGUACGCGCAGCGAAGGAUAUAGAUUCUAGGAUAGACAUAAGCUUGUCAUGUGCAUAUCUGCCUUGAUAGUUGUCACCUGGAAAGAAAAUGGGAAUAAUCACAAUGACAGAGAAAAAGCCAUAGUGCUCUGUAGAGCAAUCUCUAGAGCUCAGGAUUUUUUGUGAUU
Hordeum vulgare subsp. vulgare (domesticated barley) is the source of this 448-nucleotide long non-coding RNA. RefSeq lists it as uncharacterized. The transcript is spliced from 2 exons. The record is from RefSeq and is a predicted model, not a curated record. Lineage: Eukaryota; Viridiplantae; Streptophyta; Magnoliopsida; Poales; Poaceae.